RNAcentral lists this long non-coding RNA (2040 nucleotides) under Homo sapiens (human). Its description in RNAcentral is "HSALNT0266345". Lineage: Eukaryota; Metazoa; Chordata; Mammalia; Primates; Hominidae. The record is from RNAcentral.
UGAGAAAUCGGAUGGUUGCCGUGUCUGUGUAGAAAGAAGUAGACAUGGGAGACUUUUCAUUUUGUUCUGCACUAAGAAAAAUUCUUCUGCCUUGGGGAAAAAAAAAAAAACAAAACAAAACAAACAAAAAAAAAGUGAAACUGUAUACUCAUUACACAUUAACUCUCCAUUCUCCGCUCCCCCAACCCCUGGUAACCACCAUUCUACUUUUUGUCUCUGAAUUUCACUACUCUAAGUGCCUCAUAUAAGUGGAAUCCUACAAUAUUUGCCCUUUUUGCCUGCCUUAUUAUACUUAACAUAACGUCUUCCAGGUUGACCCAUGUUGUAGCUGUGUCAGAAUCUCACUCCAGCCAGGCAUGGUGGCUCACACCUGUAAUCCCAGCAUUCUGGAGGCCAAGGCAGCUGGAUCACCUGAGGUCAGGGGUUCGAAACCAGCCUGGCCAACGUGGCGGAGACCACCCGGUCUCAACCAAAAAUACAAAAAUUAGCCAGGUGUGGUGGCAUGUGCCUGUAAUCCCAGCUACUCGGGAGGCUGAGGCACAAGAAUCACUUGAACCCAGGAAGCAGAGGUUGCAGUGAGCCAAGAUCGAGCCACUGCACUCCAGCCUGGCCGACAGAGGACAGAGCAAGACUCCAUCUCAAUUAAAAAAAAAAAAACAAACUCCUUUUGUAAGGCUAUAUUAUAGUCUGUCAUAUUUUGUUUAUUCAUCCAUCAAUGGACAUUUGGGUUGCUUUCACCUUUUUGCUAUUGUGAAUAAUGCUGCACUGGUAUAAAAAUAUCUAUUUCAGCCCCUGAUUUCAGUUCUUCUGGGUACAUACCCAGGUGUAGAAUUGUUGAAUCAUAUGGUGAUUCUUUAAUUUUUUGAGGAACUGCCAUAUUGUUUUCUACAGUGGCUGUGCCAUUUUAUACUCCCAUCAGCAAUGCACAAAGACUCCGAUUUCUCCAAGGCCUUGCCAAUACUUAUUUUCUGUUUUGUUUUUUUUAAUAAUACCUAUCCUAGUGUAGAUGAAGUGGUAUCUCACUGUGAUUUUGAUUUGCAUUUAUCUACUUAUUAGUGAUGUUGAGCAUCUUUUCGUAUGCUUAUUGACUGUUUGUAUAUCUUCUUUGAAUAAAUGUCUAAUCAAGUUCUUUUAAUCAAGUUGUUUUCUUGUUGCACUAUAGAAGCUAUUUGUAUACUGUGUAUAUUAAACCCAUAUCAGGUAUCUGAUUUGCAAAUAUUUUCUCCCAUUUUGUGGGUUGCCUUUUUACUCUCUUGAUAGUGUCCUAUUUUGAACAAAAGUUUAAUUAAUGUAUUUAGAGACAGAGUCUUGCUAUGUUGCCCAGACUGGAGUACAGUGGCUGUUCACAGAUGCAGUGAUUGCACACUGCAGCCUCAAACUCCCGAGCUCAAGCGAACCUCCCACUUCAGCCUCCCAAGUAGUUGAAACUAUAGACAUGGGCCACCAAGCCUAGCCAAAAGUUUAAUUUUGAUGAAUUCCAAUUUAUCUAUUUUUUUCUUCUGUUGCCUGUGCUGUUGGUGUCAUAUCCAAAAGAUCAUCACCAAACCCACUGUUAUGAAACUUUUCUCCUAUGUCUUCUAAGAAUAUUAUAGUUUUAGCCCUUACACUUAGGUCUUUGAUCCAUUUUGAGUUCAUGUUUGUAUGUGGUAUGUGGUCCAAAUUCAUUCUUUUGCAUGUGGAUAUUCAGUUCUCCCAACACCAUUUGUUAAAAAGACUGUCCUUUUUCCAUUGAAUGGUUUUGGCACUCCUGUCAAAAAUCUUUUAACCAUAUAUAUGAGGGUCUAUUUAAUUUGUUGAACAUGUGGAAUAAAAUUAGAGUAACUUGUACUUACCUGCCCGUUUUAACAUCGGUUUCAGUUGUGGGUUAUGCUUGCUUAUUUCCCUCAUUAUGGAUUGCAUUGCCUGCUACUUUGUAGAACUGAUACUCUUUGAUUGGGUGCCAGACAUUGUGAGUUUCACCUUGUUGGGUGCUGGAUAUAUUUGUAAUCUGUAAAUCCUCUUGAGCUUUCUUCUGGGACAUUUGAGUUACUUGGAAACGGU